This is a long non-coding RNA of Impatiens glandulifera, 298 nucleotides long. RefSeq lists it as uncharacterized. The transcript is spliced from 2 exons. The record is from RefSeq and is a predicted model, not a curated record. NCBI's taxonomy places the organism in Eukaryota, Viridiplantae, Streptophyta, Magnoliopsida, Ericales, Balsaminaceae.
CAUCUUCAUCUGUUUGAAUCUCCUUCAUUCACCUGUCUUUUUGAUUCGUUUUCAUCUUCAUCUAUCUCUGAUUGGGAAAGCAGCGCAUCUGAUCAGGAUGAAAUUUGGAUUUAUCUCACGACGGUCGUCUGAGAUGGACAUCCUAACAGGGGUGUACAUGAUGCAUACUUCCAAUUGUUUCUGAUGAUGUUUUAUUAGUACUUGUGUUUCAAAUUAUUAAUCAAUGUAUGGGCAUAAUGAUGAUUGUAUAUAAAAUUGCUGAUAUAUCUUUGUGAAGUAAUUAAUUACCUCCUACUCA